Molecule: long non-coding RNA, 631 nt
Organism: Sander lucioperca (pikeperch)
Lineage: Eukaryota; Metazoa; Chordata; Actinopteri; Perciformes; Percidae
Exons: 7
Source: RefSeq, a predicted model, not a curated record
GCUAGCGUAUAUAAGGGCACGAGAGACUCAUUUCUAUCUCUUCCUCUCAAGUCUUCCGCAAGGAGAAAGAGAAGCCAAGGCAGAACUUCGGAUCAACCUGAAUCGUUAAUAGGAGCCGUAACUUACCUGACCUCUCCAACCAUGGAUCUCUGUAUCGAAUGCAGGUAUUGGGUAACAUUGAAGAUGGAAGCAAGAAACAUGACAAUGACCAGAUCAUUUGCAGGUAUUGGGUAACAGUGAAGAUGGAAGCACCAAACGUGAGACUGACAAGAGCAUUUGCAGGUGACUCUCAUGGCUUCAUCUGAAAGUGACUAGAUGAGUACAUCAGGCAUCAAUCAGUGCACUUCUAUCUGGUAUCCUUGGAAUGCAUGGGCUAUGUACCUUCUUGGCAAGGUCCAGUGACAUGUUGGAGCAGCCUGAAGUGCCGUAUUCGGGGCAUCCCACGACAAAAUUUUGUGAAAGCCGCAGGCAGCCACUGCAGAGGGAUUAAAUGGAUGUGGCUCCAGAGACGCAGGUUGCCUACCCGUGACUUAACUGUUGAUGUAGGGACUGACUGCACAACUAGGAAGGUGUUUUACAUUUCCAUGUUAGUUGAAUCAAUAUUGUUGAAAUAAAAUAAACCAAUUAAUUU